AUUGAACGCUGGCGGCAUGCCUUACACAUGCAAGUCGAACGGCAGCACGGGAGCAAUCCUGGUGGCGAGUGGCGAACGGGUGAGUAAAGUAUCGGAACGUGCCCAGUCGUGGGGGAUAACGUAGCGAAAGUUACGCUAAUACCGCAUACGAUCUUAGGAUGAAAGCGGGGGCUCGCAAGACCUCGCGCGAUUGGAGCGGCCGAUAUCAGAUUAGGUAGUUGGUGGGGUAAAGGCUCACCAAGCCGACGAUCUGUAGGUGGUCUGAGAGGACGACCAGCCACACGGGGACUGAGACACGGCCCAGACUCCUACGGGAGGCAGCAGUGGGGAAUUUUGGACAAUGGGCGAACGCCUGUACCAGCCAUGCCGCGUGCAGGAUGAAGGCCUUCGGGUUGUAAACUGCUUUUGUACGGAACGAAAAGGUUUGGCCUAAUAAGCUGAGCUCAUGACGGUACCGUAAGAAUAAGCACCGGCUAACUACGUGCCAGCCGCCGCCGUAA
Molecule: ribosomal RNA, 500 nt
Filed under: uncultured bacterium
Lineage: Bacteria
Description: partial 16S ribosomal RNA
Rfam family: Bacterial small subunit ribosomal RNA
Source: RNAcentral